GACGAACGCUGGCGGCGUGCUUAACACAUGCAAGUCGAGCGGUAAGGCCCUUUCGGGGGUACACGAGCGGCGAACGGGUGAGUAACACGUGGGUGACCUGCCCUCAGCUCUGGGAUAAGCCUGGGAAACUGGGUCUAAUACCGGAUAUGACUCCAUGACGCAUGUUGUGGGGUGGAAAGCCUUGUGCGGCUGAGGAUGGGCCCGCGGCCUAUCAGCUUGUUGGUGGGGNGAUGGCCUACCAAGGCGACGACGGGUAGCCGGCCUGAGAGGGCGACCGGCCACACUGGGACUGAGACACGGCCCAGACUCCUACGGGAGGCAGCAGUGGGGAAUCUUGCGCAAUGGGCGAAAGCCUGACGCAGCGACGCCGCGUGAGGGAUGACGG
This 385-nucleotide ribosomal RNA is filed under the name uncultured bacterium. RNAcentral describes it as "bacterial SSU rRNA". It matches the Rfam family "Bacterial small subunit ribosomal RNA", at positions 28 to 414 of the family's 1533-position model. The record is from RNAcentral.